This 675-nucleotide ribosomal RNA is filed under the name uncultured bacterium. Its description in RNAcentral is "bacterial SSU rRNA". It matches the Rfam family "Archaeal small subunit ribosomal RNA", at positions 142 to 815 of the family's 1478-position model. The record is from RNAcentral.
GGGGAUAAUUCCGGAUAACGCAUAUGUGCUGGAAUGCUUUAUGCGUAAAAUGGAUUCGUCUGCCCAAGGAUGGGUCUGCGGCCUAUCAGGUAGUAGUGGGUGUAAUGUACCUACUAGCCAGCGACGGGUACGGGUUGUGAGAGCAAGAGCCCGGAGAUGGAUUCUGAGACAUGAAUCCAGGCCCUACGGGGCGCAGCAGGCGCGAAAACUUUACAAUGCGGGAAACCGUGAUAAGGGGACACCGAGUGCCAGCAUCAUAUGCUGGCUGUCCAGGUGUGUAAAAUACACCUGUUAGCAAGGGCCGGGCAAGACCGGUGCCAGCCGCCGCGGUAACACCGGCGGCCCGAGUGGUGAUCGUGAUUAUUGGGUCUAAAGGGUCCGUAGCCGGUUUGGUCAGUCCUCCGGGAAAUCUGAUAGCUCAACUAUUAGGCUUUCGGGGGAUACUGCCAGACUUGGAACCGGGAGAGGUAAGAGGUACUACAGGGGUAGGAGUGAAAUCUUGUAAUCCCUGUGGGACCACCUGUGGCGAAGGCGUCUUACCAGAACGGGUUCGACGGUGAGGGACGAAAGCUGGGGGCACGAACCGGAUUAGAUACCCGGGUAGUCCCAGCCGUAAACGAUGCUCGCUAGGUGUCAGGCAUGGCGCGACCGUGUCUGGUGCCGCAGGGAAGCCGU